CUAUUUAAUUCCUAAAUAAUAAAAUUUUGAAAACUUACAAUUUUUACCUUACACUCUGUGACGCCUCACUUUUCAGCGAACGACUCGUCCUAGGACUACUCACACGCUUAGCUCUCUUAAUCUUGUAGGUCUAACCAUCGCCCAAAAUAUUAUAGUCGAGUAUUUAAAAACUAAUUAAUCUCCUGAAUCUAACCACCACCCAAAAUGUUUGGGUAUUUAGGAACUACACAAUUUUCUCCCUUUAAGCUCUGACGUCUUCGUCAGAUUAAGGCACACUCACAAGUAUCGGGUGAUGUGAGACUCGUUUCGCAAGGCUUAGCCGACCUUGUGCGACUUCUGCAUACUUUGUAAUAUGGUUCAGCCAUGACUCAUCUUAUAUUUCCUACUGGUAAUUGACUCUGAUACCAACCGUAAAAACUCACUAUCCAGAGGAUCAUCCAUUAUAGAACUACUUUAGUCUUAGCACAUUUAACUCUCUGAUCCUUUUAAGCCUAACCACAGCCAAAAAUACUAUAACCGAAUUUUUUAGUAAUUUUAGUUCUAUUAUACUUUAUAUAUUAUAUAUAACACUAUUUCGAAUCCCCAAACCUCUCACACACACACACUUUUGACCACAUCUAUUUGAUAAAUUACACACUCUUU
Molecule: long non-coding RNA, 642 nt
Filed under: Ananas comosus (pineapple)
Lineage: Eukaryota; Viridiplantae; Streptophyta; Magnoliopsida; Poales; Bromeliaceae
Description: long non-coding RNA (ACOM_LNC020839)
Source: RNAcentral